CGCUUUAAUCCUGCGUUUUCCCACAGAAUCCAGGUGUCACUGCCUCCAGCAAUUCCCAACUGGCCUCAACGAAACUCAGUGUCACUAUCCUGUGGCCGUGGUCUCACUUAAUCAGGCGGUCCUGCUCUUUCUUUCAUUCUACGCAUCAACUACGUAAUCUCUCCCUCUGUCUUCCUCUCGAAAGCGAAAGCCAAUUGCAGAAGCGAGAGCUCUCUCUCUCUCUCUCGAUCUCUCGAUGGAAGCACCGACACUGUAACUGAAAACCCUAAAACGAUGUGUUUCGAUUUCUCUUUAGCUCUUACUGAUCCAGCGAUUUUCCUUUCUUUCAUGGAUUCUUGAUCUUUAUCAGAAACGAGCGGCAAGAAUAGAGCUGUUAUAGAGAGAACCCGUUGGAUCAUAUGAAGUGCUUACUUGAUUGGACUGGUUCUCUAGCAUUUGAUUCUGAUGUACUUUAUUUGCAUGUUUUCACACCAAGCAAACUUUUUGGCCAAUUCACAGAGGUGAGUGGGGUGAGACCAAAUUUUUCUUCUGUUGAUUGGGUACUGCGUGGGAACUGUAAUCUGAGCAGAAGAGCACAAAGGUUGUUAUGGCUGAAGGAGGGGAGCAAAUCGAGCUUAAAUUCCGCAUCUAUGAUGGAACAGAUAUAGGGCAUGGUACUUAUGCAUCGUCAAUUACUAUUGGAACUCUCAAGCAAAGGCUAGUUACAGAGUGGCCUCAAGGUUACUCAUCUAGAUCUUCUAUGUUCUUUUCACUUGUUCCAAUUAAGCAUAGUGAUUGUUACACAUUCCAAUUGCUUUUUAACUGUAUGAAAUAUUGGGCUUGUGUAUUAUUUUUGCCGUGUUUUCAUCCACCAGCCCUAAAAAAAAUUUUGGGAUGGAGGUUGGGGUAUCUCCUUGAUUUUCAGACUUCUCUUAUAGAAGUUUCUUUUCGAAAAUAGUUGUUUACGGCUAUAUUUUCUAUUGAACUUGAUCUCAAUCAUAAUUAGCAUGUAAUGUGACACUUCCAGUUUGGGGCUUUGUUCUUAUUUUUCCAGGCUCACAUUCUAUAUUGCUAAGGACAUUUGGUCAAUCUGUUAGUGGUUGAUUUGUGAGAGAGAGUGGCCAAUUAUUUGAUUGCAUUGGUAGCAAAUUUUAUUAGUACUAUGCUAUUGAUUGAUGUUGCAGUAUGCUUCUAGUCAGAAAACUAGCUGCUUUAUGUUGCAAAUCAAAUUUUGCCUUUCAUGUAUUCACUUUAUAUUUUAUUCCUUGUUUGUGUCUCUAAUGGUGCCUUUGGAUUUACAGAUAAAACAGUAUUACCCAAGUCAGUUAAUGAUUUGAAACUUAUACAUGCUGGUAAAAUAUUGGAGAAUAAUAGGACACUUGCUGACUCCAGAAUAACCUAUGGUGACCUUCCUGGUGGGGUUAUCACCAUGCAUGUAGUGGUGCAGCCUCCUGCAGCUAAGAAGAAGAUGGACAAAAACCCAGAGGAGAUGAAAAAGCAGAAUUCAUGCUCAUGUGUUAUCCUUUGACAUUGGAAACAUGCUUUUUGGCUACAAAUGCCGACAGCAUCACCCAUUGAAAAUUUUUUGUUUAAUUAGUGAUAUUAGUGCAGUUUCACAUUUCAUAUGGCAUUCAUAUGUGUGGAUUGCAUUUGCAAUUUCUAAUUGCUUUUGUUGUUUUUCCUGUUGUAAUCAGUCUCUUAAAAGCAAUAUUAGACUAUCAGCUCAUUUUCUUUACCCGGGAGUAGUAUUUUGCUGAGCACAGUGAUAGAGGCUUAUGUUUAUUUGAGAUAUAGACAGAGAGAGAUAGUAUGAACUAGAUGAACUUUAGCAUUUGGCAUUAAUUAGUUGUUUUUUUAUUUGUCAAAUGAAAGGCAUUCUGGAACUGCAUGUAUAUUUGAAAGUGCGGGAGAAUAAUGAUAAGUGUUUAGGAGGAUUUGUAGUUUAAUCUCUACAUAUUUAUAUCUCUAUCAGUAAUUACAGCUCUCAUAAAUUUCACUAAUUUAGUGUGUUGUAACACUAUCGUCUUAAAUUUAAUGUGUCAUAUUAGCAUCUUGAAAUAGGAGAUGUUAUAAGAGUUCACCUUUUUGUGAAAGAAGAAGCACUAUUUUUAUGUACAUCAGAAGUAUAAUAUUCUUCUCCAAAAUAGUUUAGUAAUAUCAGUGGAGAAAUAAUUUAGAACCUGUUUGGUUUAACUAUUGGAUGUAGUUAAUAGCCGAUAGCUAUUACUAUUAAGUGAUAGCUUAUAACGGAUAAUUGAUGAUAGCUGAUUUAUGUUAAGUGUUUGGCAAAUUAAGUUUAAUCAUUGUUGUUAAUAUGUAAAAUGAUUAAUAAGAGUAUAUAUUAUAUAAUUUAUUUUAUUAUUGAAAUAAAUAUAAAAUU
Molecule: unclassified non-coding RNA, 2359 nt
Filed under: Hevea brasiliensis (rubber tree)
Lineage: Eukaryota; Viridiplantae; Streptophyta; Magnoliopsida; Malpighiales; Euphorbiaceae
Source: RNAcentral